This 809-nucleotide ribosomal RNA is filed under the name Streptomyces sp. RNAcentral's name for it is "bacterial SSU rRNA". It matches the Rfam family "Bacterial small subunit ribosomal RNA", at positions 55 to 879 of the family's 1533-position model. Lineage: Bacteria; Bacillati; Actinomycetota; Actinomycetes; Kitasatosporales; Streptomycetaceae. The record is from RNAcentral.
AUGCAGUCGACGAUGACUCCUUCGGGAGGGGAUUAGUGGCGAACGGGUGAGUAACACGUGGGCAAUCUGCCCUUCACUCUGGGACAAGCCCUGGAAACGGGGUCUAAUACCGGAUACGACGCGCGACCGCAUGGUCUGUGCGUGGAAAGCUCCGGCGGUGAAGGAUGAGCCCGCGGCCUAUCAGCUUGUUGGUGGGGUAAUGGCCUACCAAGGCGACGACGGGUAGCCGGCCUGAGAGGGCGACCGGCCACACUGGGACUGAGACACGGCCCAGACUCCUACGGGAGGCAGCAGUGGGGAAUAUUGCACAAUGGGCGAAAGCCUGAUGCAGCGACGCCGCGUGAGGGAUGACGGCCUUCGGGUUGUAAACCUCUUUCAGCAGGGAAGAAGCGAGAGUGACGGUACCUGCAGAAGAAGCGCCGGCUAACUACGUGCCAGCAGCCGCGGUAAUACGUAGGGCGCAAGCGUUGUCCGGAAUUAUUGGGCGUAAAGAGCUCGUAGGCGGCUUGUCACGUCGGAUGUGAAAGCCCGGGGCUUAACCCCGGGUCUGCAUUCGAUACGGGCAGGCUAGAGUUCGGUAGGGGAGAUCGGAAUUCCUGGUGUAGCGGUGAAAUGCGCAGAUAUCAGGAGGAACACCGGUGGCGAAGGCGGAUCUCUGGGCCGAUACUGACGCUGAGGAGCGAAAGCGUGGGGAGCGAACAGGAUUAGAUACCCUGGGUAGUCCACGCCGUAAACGUUGGGAACUAGGUGUGGGCGACAUUCCACGUCGUCCGUGCCGCAGCUAACGCAUUAAGUUCCCCGCCUGGGGG